RNAcentral lists this ribosomal RNA (468 nucleotides) under uncultured bacterium. RNAcentral's name for it is "partial 16S ribosomal RNA". It matches the Rfam family "Bacterial small subunit ribosomal RNA", at positions 28 to 507 of the family's 1533-position model. The record is from RNAcentral.
GACGAACGCUGGCGGCGUGCUUAACACAUGCAAGUCGAACGGAAAGGCCCUGCUUUUGUGGGGUGCUCGAGUGGCGAACGGGUGAGUAACACGUGAGUAACCUGCCCUUGCCUUUGGGAUAACUUCAGGAAACUGGGGCUAAUACCGGAUAGGAGCUCCUGCUGCAUGGUGGGGGUUGGAAAGUUUCGGCGGUUGGGGAUGGACUCGCGGCUUAUCAGCUUGUUGGUGGGGUAGUGGCUUACCAAGGCUUUGACGGGUAGCCGGCCUGAGAGGGUGACCGGCCACAUUGGGACUGAGAUACGGCCCAGACUCCUACGGGAGGCAGCAGUGGGGAAGAUGGCGCAAUGGGCGGAAGCCGGAUGCAGCAACGCCGCGUGCGGGAUGACGGCCUUCGGGUUGUAAACCGCUUUCGCCUGUGACGAAGCGUGAGUGACGGUAAUGGGUAAAGAAGCACCGGCUAACUACGUG